RNAcentral lists this non-coding RNA (26 nucleotides) under Mus musculus (house mouse). The record is from RNAcentral. Lineage: Eukaryota; Metazoa; Chordata; Mammalia; Rodentia; Muridae.
UCACUGUUUCCUGCUAUGGUGGGUAG